RNAcentral lists this ribosomal RNA (252 nucleotides) under uncultured bacterium. RNAcentral describes it as "partial 16S ribosomal RNA". It matches the Rfam family "Bacterial small subunit ribosomal RNA", at positions 524 to 776 of the family's 1533-position model. The record is from RNAcentral.
UACGUAGGGUGCAAGCGUUGUCCGGAAUUAUUGGGCGUAAAGAGCUCGUAGGCGGUCUGUUGCGUCGGCUGUGAAAACCCGGGGCUCAACUCCGGGCCUGCAGCCGAUACGGGCAGACUAGAGUUCGGCAGGGGAGACUGGAAUUCCUGGUGUAGCGGUGAAAUGUGCAGAUAUCAGGAGGAACACCGGUGGCGAAGGCGGGUCUCUGGGCCGAUACUGACGCUGAGGAGCGAAAGCGUGGGAGCGAACAGG